Molecule: small nucleolar RNA, 68 nt
Organism: Tachysurus vachellii
Lineage: Eukaryota; Metazoa; Chordata; Actinopteri; Siluriformes; Bagridae
Product: small nucleolar RNA SNORD58
Exons: 1
Source: RefSeq, a predicted model, not a curated record
CUGCAAUGAUGACUUCUUAGGACACCUUUGGAUUAAUGAUGAAAAGAAUUGAACAAAUUCUGAGCAGC